CACGCUUCGAAACCUCGGCACAUCAGGUCACAUCACUAGUCGGCACGUCUGGUAGCAUCUCUGGCUGCUGUUGACCUUGUUUUUGGAGUAAAACACGGUGGAAGCUGAAUUAGUGAGGAUGACUCCUGCUCCUGUCAUCUCUAAGCUCCUCACACAUCUUUACCUGCACAUGAGGAAAAUCACUCCUGUAGAAUGCAGAUGUUCAGAGGGAGAUGAUGCCACAUCUGGUCCAGCUGAUGGAAGGUCUUGAAGUUCUCUGACUGGCCUCGACUGAAGAUGGUCGUCUCACUGGAUUUAAGGUUCAGAUACUCAGUAACAAACUCCACCAAUGUGCCAACAGGGAAGCUUUAGGUUUAUUAAAUGUUGCUAUGAAGGUAUCACUGUUUUUCUUUGUGAAUGCAAUGUGCUCCAACUGAAACUUGAAUUACAACUUAAAAGUAAAUCCUUCCAUCUGAAAGGAUUUAGUUGCAUUAAUAACCUCAUAACAUUCUAAUUUUUAUUCCAGUCUUGGUUGGAAAUAGAAUCUCUGUAUUGAUUCAGGUAAAAACUGAACUUCACAGCAUGUUGGAGCAAAACAACCAGAUGAAAACUGUGAUGGUGUUGGAUUAUCAGACCGUAAUGUUGCAGCUCAAAGCAGCUUUUCUAGCUCAGUUCAUUCUGACAUUCAGCUAUGAAUCAACACAGCAGAUGGUGAUCCAUGCUGUGGAAGUCUCACAUCUCCUCAUUUAAUGGAGCUGCUUUGCACUUUUUACACUGUUUAUUCACCAACACUUUAUUUAAUAAAAGUCCCAUCUAGUUUUUAUGAGGAAUGUGAUGUUUUAAUUUCUCUGUGAAUAACUGCAGUCUAAUGCAACAGCUGGAGUUGUAACAUCUGUCCUGAUGUUGAUCAUGAAGUAUUGAUCAGAAUACUUAUGGUCAGCAGUCAUCCC
Molecule: long non-coding RNA, 929 nt
Organism: Amphiprion ocellaris (clown anemonefish)
Lineage: Eukaryota; Metazoa; Chordata; Actinopteri; Pomacentridae
Source: Ensembl